Molecule: ribosomal RNA, 948 nt
Filed under: Candoninae sp. 10 IK-2017
Lineage: Eukaryota; Metazoa; Arthropoda; Ostracoda; Podocopida; Candonidae
Description: SSU rRNA
Rfam family: Eukaryotic small subunit ribosomal RNA
Source: RNAcentral
AGGCAGCAGGCACGCAAAUUACCCAAUCCCGGCUCGGGGAGGUAGUGACGAAAAAUAACAAUACGGGACUCAUCCGAGGCCCCGUAAUUGGAAUGACUACAAUUUAAAUCCUUUAAGAAGGAUCCAUUGGAGGGCAAGUCUGGUGCCAGCAGCCGCGGUAAUUCCAGCUCCAAUAGCGUAUAUUAAAGUUGCUGCAGUUAAAAAGCUCGUAGUUGGAUCUCAGUUACGGGCAGGUGGUUCACUUUACAGUGCUACUACCUGAACCGAACCUAUUGCUGGAUCUCUUGGGUGCCCUUCACUGGGUGCCCCUUGAGACCAGAGCGUUUACUUUGAGAAAAUUAGAGUGCUCAAAGCAGGCGAAUGCCUGAAUAGUUGUGCAUGGAAUAAUGAAAUAUGGCCUCGGUACUGUUUUGUUGGUUCACGGUGCUCGAGGUAAUGGUUGAAAGGGACUGACGGGGGCAUUCGUAUUGCGACGUUAGAGGUGAAAUUCUUAGAUCGUCGCAAGACGGACUACUGCGAAAGCAUUUGCCAAGAAUGUCUUCAUUAAUCAAGAACGAAAGUCAGAGGUUCGAAGGCGAUCAGAUACCGCCCUAGUUCUGACCUUAAACGAUGCUAACUGGCGAUCCAGUGGGGGUAUUUAAAAUGACCUGCUGGGCAGCUUCUGGGAAACCAAAGUUUUUGGGUUCCGGGGGAAGUAUGGUUGCAAAGCUGGAACUUAAAGGAAUUGACGGAAGGGCACCACCAGGAGUGGAGCCUGUGGCUUAAUUUGACUCAACACGGGAAACCUCACCAGGCCCAGACACUAGAAGGAUUGACAGAUUGAGAGCUCUUUCUUGAUUUGGUGGAUGGUGGUGCAUGGCCGUUCUUAGUUGGUGGAGUGAUUUGUCUGGUUAAUUCCGAUAACGAACGAGACUUUAGCCUACUAAAUAGAUAGCGGAUACUCAAAAG